This 409-nucleotide ribosomal RNA is filed under the name uncultured prokaryote. RNAcentral describes it as "bacterial SSU rRNA". It matches the Rfam family "Bacterial small subunit ribosomal RNA", at positions 355 to 776 of the family's 1533-position model. The record is from RNAcentral.
UGGGGAAUAUUGCACAAUGGGCGCAAGCCUGAUGCAGCGACGCCGCGUGGGGGAUGAAGGCCUUCGGGUUGUAAACCCCUUUCAGCAGGGAAGAAGCGAAAGUGACGGUACCUGCAGAAGAAGCCCCGGCUAACUACGUGCCAGCAGCCGCGGUAAUACGUAGGGGGCGAGCGUUGUCCGGAAUGACUGGGCGUAAAGGGCGCGUAGACGGCUUUUUAAGUCUGGAGUGAAAGUCCUGCUUUCAAGGUGGGAAUUGCUUUGGAGACUGGAAGGCUUGAGUGCGGAAGAGGUAAGUGGAAUUCCCAGUGUAGCGGUGAAAUGCGUAGAGAUUGGGAAGAACACCAGUGGCGAAGGCGACUUACUGGGCCGGAACUGACGUUGAUGCGCGAAAGCGUGGGGAGCGAACAGG